UACGUAGGGUGCAAGCGUUGUCCGGAAUUAUUGGGCGUAAAGAGCUCGUAGGCGGUCUGUCGCGUCGGCUGUGAAAUCCCGAGGCUCAACCUCGGGUCUGCAGUCGAUACGGGCAAACUGGAGUGUUGCAGGGGAGACUGGAAUUCCUGGUGUAGCGGUGAAAUGCGCAGAUAUCAGGAGGAACACCGGUGGCGAAGGCGGGUCUCUGGGCAACAACUGACGCUGAGGAGCGAAGGCGUGGGGAGCGAACAGG
RNAcentral lists this ribosomal RNA (253 nucleotides) under uncultured bacterium. RNAcentral's name for it is "partial 16S ribosomal RNA". It matches the Rfam family "Bacterial small subunit ribosomal RNA", at positions 524 to 776 of the family's 1533-position model. The record is from RNAcentral.